AUUAUGACUCUCGGCAACGGAUAUCUCGGCUCUUACAUCGAUGAAGAACGUAGCGAAAUGCGAUACUUGGUGUGAAUUGCAGAAUCCCGUGAACCAUCGAGUCUUUGAACGCAAGUUGCGCCCGAGGCCUUCGGGUCGAGGGCACGCCUGCCUGGGCGUCACGC
This 164-nucleotide ribosomal RNA is filed under the name Gagea heldreichii. RNAcentral's name for it is "5.8S ribosomal RNA". It matches the Rfam family "5.8S ribosomal RNA". From Rfam's summary of the family: 5.8S ribosomal RNA (5.8S rRNA) is a component of the large subunit of the eukaryotic ribosome. It is transcribed by RNA polymerase I as part of the 45S precursor that also contains 18S and 28S rRNA. Functionally, it is thought that 5.8S rRNA may be involved in ribosome translocation. Lineage: Eukaryota; Viridiplantae; Streptophyta; Magnoliopsida; Liliales; Liliaceae. RNAcentral also lists the same sequence under 2 other names. The record is from RNAcentral.